UACGAGUGCCUCGAGCGUUAUCCGGAAUCAUUGGGCGUAAAGGAUGUGUAGGUGGCUUCGUUAGUCUCUCGUUAAAUUUUGCGGCUUAACCGUAAAAGUGCGGGGGAAACGGCGGGGCUUGAGGGUGCAAGGGGUCUCUGGAACUCUAGGUGUAGCGGUGAAAUGCGUUGAUAUCUAGGGGAACACCAAAAGCGAAGGCAAGAGACUGGGGCAUUCCUGACACUGAAACAUGAAAGCGUGGGUAGCGAAUGGG
This 253-nucleotide ribosomal RNA is filed under the name uncultured bacterium. RNAcentral describes it as "partial 16S ribosomal RNA". It matches the Rfam family "Bacterial small subunit ribosomal RNA", at positions 524 to 776 of the family's 1533-position model. The record is from RNAcentral.